GCAGGAUAGCUCAGUUGGUAGAGCAUGAGACUCUUAAUCUCGGGGUUGUGGGUUCAAGCCCCAUAUUGUGCA
Podarcis lilfordi (Lilford's wall lizard) is the source of this 72-nucleotide non-coding RNA. NCBI's taxonomy places the organism in Eukaryota, Metazoa, Chordata, Lepidosauria, Squamata, Lacertidae. The record is from the annotation of a GenBank genome assembly.